Molecule: ribosomal RNA, 1293 nt
Filed under: metagenome
Description: bacterial SSU rRNA
Rfam family: Bacterial small subunit ribosomal RNA
Source: RNAcentral
GUUUGAUCCUGGCUCAGGAUGAACGCUGGCGGCGUGCUUAACCAAUGCAAGUCGAACGGAUCGGCUAGAGUUGGAAGCCUUGGAGAGGGCGAAAGAUGAGAAAUCGUUAGACGCUCAGGAAGGGGCAGAAGACUCGGUGCCGGUCAGUGGCGGACGGGUGAGUAACACGUGGGAAUCUGCCCUGAAGUGGGGAAUAACUGAUCGAAAGGUCGGCUAAUUCCGCAUGUGCUCUGGAAAGAGGAAAGGGGAAACUCGCUUCAGGAGGAGCCCGCGGCCGAUUAGCUAGUUGGUGAGGUAAAGGCCCACCAAGGCGAGGAUCGGUAGCUGGUCUGAGAGGACGAUCAGCCACACUGGAACUGACACACGGUCCAGACUCCUACGGGAGGCAGCAGGGAGGAAUAUUGCGCAAUGGGGGAAACCCAGACGCAGCAACGCCGCGUGAGCGAAGAAGGCCUUCGGGUUGUAAAGCUCUUUUCUGGGGGAUGAGCAAGGACGGUACCUCAGGAAUAAGUCUCGGCUAACUACGUGCCAGCAGCCGCGGUAAAACGUAGGAGGCGAGCGUUAUCCGGAUUUACUGGGCGUAAAGGGCAAGUAGGCGGUGGUCAAAGUUGGGUGUAACAUCUCCCGGCUCAACUGGGAGGGGCCACUCAAAACUAGGCGACUAGAGGGCAGGAGAGGUAAGCGGAAUUCCUAGUGUAGCGGUGGAAUGCUCAGAUAUUAGGAAGAACACCAGUGGCGAAGGCGGCUUACUGGCCUGCACCUGACGCUGAGAGGCGAAAGCUAGGGGAGCGAAAGCCGACCGACCCUUCGGGGAGCAUACACAGGUGCUGCAUGGCUGUCGUCAGCUCGUGCCGUGAGGUGUAGGGUUAAGUCCCACAACGAGCGCAACCCUCGUUGCCAGUUAAAACUUUCUGGCGAGACUGCCGGCGUAUAACCGGAGGAAGGUGGGGAUGACGUCAAGUCAGCAUGGCCUUUAUAUCCAGGGCUACACACACGCUACAAUGGUCGGUACAGAGGGGGGCAAAGCCGCGAGGUGGAGCAAAUCUCAAAAAGCCGGCCUCAGUUCAGAUUGCAGGCUGCAACUCGCCUGCAUGAAGUCGGAGUUGCUAGUAACCGCAGGUCAGCUAUACUGCGGUGAAUACGUUCCCGGGCCUUGUACACACCGCCCGUCACGUCAUGGAAGCUGGCAAUACCUGAAGUCGGUGAGCUAACCGCAAGGGGGCAACUGCCUAAGGUAGGGCUGGUAACUGGGACGAAGUCGUAACAAGGUAGCCGUACCGGAAGGUGCGGCUG